RNAcentral lists this ribosomal RNA (273 nucleotides) under uncultured bacterium. RNAcentral's name for it is "partial 16S ribosomal RNA". It matches the Rfam family "Bacterial small subunit ribosomal RNA", at positions 524 to 796 of the family's 1533-position model. The record is from RNAcentral.
UACGGAAGGGGCAAGCGUUGUUCGGAAUCAUUGGGCGUAAAGGGCGCGUAGGCGGUCGCGUAUGUCUGCUGUGAAAGCACACGGCUCAACCGUGUGAAGUCGGUAGAAACUGCGGGACUUGAGGCUGGGAGAGGUUGGUGGAAUUCCCUGUGUAGCGGUGAAAUGCGUAGAUAUAGGGGAGAACACUCGUGGCGAAGGCGGCCAGCUGGACCAGCCCUGACGCUGAGGCGCGACAGCGUGGGGAGCAAACAGGAUUAGAAACCCGAGUAGUCC